RNAcentral lists this ribosomal RNA (1021 nucleotides) under uncultured bacterium. Its description in RNAcentral is "bacterial SSU rRNA". It matches the Rfam family "Bacterial small subunit ribosomal RNA", at positions 357 to 1376 of the family's 1533-position model. The record is from RNAcentral.
AGGAAUAUUGGUCAAUGGGCGAGAGCCUGAACCAGCCAAGUCGCGUGAGGGAAGACGGCCCUACGGGUUGUAAACCUCUUUUGUCAGGGAGCAAGAACAGGCACGUGUGCCUGACUGAGAGUACCUGAAGAAAAAGCAUCGGCUAACUCCGUGCCAGCAGCCGCGGUAAUACGGAGGAUGCGAGCGUUAUCCGGAUUUAUUGGGUUUAAAGGGUGCGUAGGCGGACUGCCAAGUCAGCGGUAAAAUAGCGGGGCUCAACCCCGUCGAGCCGUUGAAACUGGUGGUCUUGAGUGGGCGAGAAGUACGCGGAAUGUGUGGUGUAGCGGUGAAAUGCAUAGAUAUCACGCAGAACUCCGAUUGCGAAGGCAGCGUACCGGCGCCCGACUGACGCUGAAGCACGAAAGCGUGGGUAUCGAACAGGAUUAGAUACCCUGGUAGUCCACGCAGUAAACGAUGAAUGCUAGCUGUCCGGGACGAAUGAGUCCUGGGUGGCACAGCGAAAGCGUUAAGCAUUCCACCUGGGGAGUACGCCGGCAACGGUGAAACUCAAAGGAAUUGACGGGGGCCCGCACAAGCGGAGGAACAUGUGGUUUAAUUCGAUGAUACGCGAGGAACCUUACCCGGGCUCAAACGCACUACGAAUGAUGCUGAAAGGUGUCAGCCAGCAAUGGCGUAGUGCGAGGUGCUGCAUGGUUGUCGUCAGCUCGUGCCGUGAGGUGUCGGCUUAAGUGCCAUAACGAGCGCAACCCCUACCGACAGUUGCUAACUGGUCAAGCAAAGGACUCUGUCGGGACUGCCGGCGCAAGCUGUGAGGAAGGCGGGGAUGACGUCAAAUCAGCACGGCCCUUACGUCCGGGGCGACACACGUGUUACAAUGGCAGGUACAGCGGGAAGCCACCUGGCGACAGGGAGCGGAACCCGAAAACCUGUCUCAGUUCGGAUUGGAGUCUGCAACCCGACUCCAUGAAGCUGGAUUCGCUAGUAAUCGCGCAUCAGCCAUGGCGCGGUGAAUACGUUCCCG